Molecule: long non-coding RNA, 352 nt
Filed under: Podarcis lilfordi (Lilford's wall lizard)
Lineage: Eukaryota; Metazoa; Chordata; Lepidosauria; Squamata; Lacertidae
Source: RNAcentral
AUGUAUGCUACAACAGCAGCAAGAAUACUCAUUGCAAAGUAUUGGAAGACACAAGAUCUACCCACUUUGGAAGAAUGGCAGAUGAAGGUGAUGGACUAUAUGGAACUGGCAGAAAUGACUGGCAGAAUCCGAGACCAGGGAGAAGAGUCGGUGGAAGAAGAUUGGAAGAAAUUUAAAGACUAUUUACAGAAAUAUUGUAAAAUUAAUGAAUGAUAGAAUGAUGUUGGAUAGUAAUUAAGCGGUUUCCAGCUGUAAUGCUUUAAGAGAAUAUGAAAAAAGGGUUAUAAAUGGGUUAAAAUCUAAUGGUAAGGAUUUGCUGAACCAAUAAAUUGAAGUGGAAUACAAAAAAAGG